GACGAACGCUGGCGGCGUGCUUAACACAUGCAAGUCGAACGGUGACCCAGGGCUUGCCCUGGUGAUCAGUGGCGAACGGGUGAGUAACACGUGGGCAACCUGCCCCUGACUUCGGGAUAACUCCUCGAAAGAGGAGCUAAUACCGGAUACGACCACUUCGGACAUCCGAUGGUGGUGGAAAGUUUUUCGGUCAGGGAUGGGCCCGCGGCCUAUCAGCUAGUUGGUGGGGUAAUGGCCUACCAAGGCGACGACGGGUAGCCGGCCUGAGAGGCGACCGGCCACACUGGGACUGAGACACGGCCCAGACUCCUACGGGAGGCAACAGUGGGGAAUAUUGCGCAAUGGGCGAAAGCCUGACGCAGCGACGCCGCGUGAGGGAUGAAGGCCUUCGGUUGUAAACCUCUUCAGCAGGGACGAAGCGGAAAGUGACGGUAACCUGCAGAAGAAGCACCGGCUAACUACGUGCCAG
Molecule: ribosomal RNA, 469 nt
Filed under: uncultured bacterium
Lineage: Bacteria
Description: bacterial SSU rRNA
Rfam family: Bacterial small subunit ribosomal RNA
Source: RNAcentral